GAUGAACGCUGACAGAAUGCUUAACACAUGCAAGUCAAUGGCGAAGCUGCGCUUGCGCAGUCUAGCCAAGGCGGACGGGUGAGUAACGCGUCAUGAACUUGCCCUGCAGACAGGGAUAACAGACUGAAACGACUGAUAACCCCUGGUAUUGUCAGGCUGGCCCAUUCCGGCCUGAUGAAAGGAGACGCUGCAGGAGGGCCUUGCGUCCUAUUAGCUAGUUGGUGGGGUAACGGCCCACCAAGGCGAUGAUAGGUAGCCGGCCUGAGGAGAGGAACGGCCACAAGGGGACGAAGAUGCGGCGGUUACGCCUACGAGGGGCAGCAGUGGGGAAUAAUGGAGAAUGGGGGCAACCAUGAUCCAGCAAUUCUGUGUGGACGAAGAAGGUGUUCGGAGUGUAAAGAGGUUUCAGCAGGGAAGAAGAAAGUGACGGUACCUGCAGAAGAAGCGACGGCUAAAUACGUG
Molecule: ribosomal RNA, 462 nt
Filed under: uncultured bacterium
Lineage: Bacteria
Description: partial 16S ribosomal RNA
Rfam family: Bacterial small subunit ribosomal RNA
Source: RNAcentral